GACAACGUAGGGUAGUGGUUUGAGUGUUGGACCACCACUCUGGAGACCUGGGUUCAAAUUCCCGCUUGGCCG
Molecule: transfer RNA, 72 nt
Filed under: Phrynosoma platyrhinos (Desert horned lizard)
Lineage: Eukaryota; Metazoa; Chordata; Lepidosauria; Squamata; Phrynosomatidae
Description: tRNA-OTHER
Source: RNAcentral